UACACUUAAAUAACGAAAGCCCUGCCUUCUCUUUCAUCUUUGCGGCCCCUUGGCCACUCCAUUUGAUUUAAGACUUGCGAUGCGUA
Molecule: small RNA, 86 nt
Filed under: Salisediminibacterium beveridgei
Lineage: Bacteria; Bacillati; Bacillota; Bacilli; Caryophanales; Bacillaceae
Description: Bacillus beveridgei BsrC
Rfam family: BsrC
About the family: The 301 nucleotide sequence from Kouji Nakamura has been trimmed to a highly conserved ~85 nucleotide long core to form this family.
Source: Rfam by way of RNAcentral